Molecule: ribosomal RNA, 298 nt
Filed under: uncultured bacterium
Lineage: Bacteria
Description: partial 16S ribosomal RNA
Rfam family: Bacterial small subunit ribosomal RNA
Source: RNAcentral
CUAUGCGCCUUGCCAGCCCGCUCAGGUGUGCCAGCCGCCGCGGUAAUACGGAGGGUGCAAGCGUUAAUCGGAAUUACUGGGCGUAAAGCGCACGCAGACGGUUUGUUAAGUCAGAUGUGAAAUCCCCGGGCUCAACCUGGGAACUGCAUCUGAUACUGGCAAGCUUGAGUCUCGUAGAGGGGGGUAGAAUUCCAGGUGUAGCGGUGAAAUGCGUAGAGAUCUGGAGGAAUACCGGUGGCGAAGGCGGCCCCCUGGACGAAGACUGACGCUCAGGUGCGAAAGCGUGGGAGCAAACAGG